RNAcentral lists this transfer RNA (72 nucleotides) under Bacteroidales bacterium. Its description in RNAcentral is "tRNA-Arg". It matches the Rfam family "tRNA". Rfam says of the family: Transfer RNA (tRNA) molecules are approximately 80 nucleotides in length. Their secondary structure includes four short double-helical elements and three loops (D, anti-codon, and T loops). Lineage: Bacteria; Pseudomonadati; Bacteroidota; Bacteroidia; Bacteroidales. The record is from RNAcentral.
UCCCCUGUCGUUCAACGGACAGGACACAUGCCUACGAAGCUUGAAAUGGAGGUUCGAUUCCUCCCGGGGGAA